GAUGAACGCUAGCUACAGGCUUAACACAUGCAAGUCGAGCGAAUGAAGUUCCUUCGGGAACGGAUUUAGCGGCGGACGGGUGAGUAACACGUGGGCAACCUGCCUCAUAGAGGGGAAUAGCCUUCCGAAAGGGAGAUUAAUACCGCAUAAGAUUGUAGUACCGCAUGGUACAGCAAUUAAAGGAGUAAUCCGCUAUGAGGUGGGCCCGCGGCGCAUUAGCUAGUUGGUGAGGUAACGGCUCACCAAGGCGACGAUGCGUAGCCGACCUGAGAGGGUGAUCGGCCACAUUGGGACUGAGACACGGCCCAGACUCCUACGGGAGGCAGCAGUGGGGAAUAUUGCACAAUGGGGGAAACCCUGAUGCAGCAACGCCGCGUGAGUGAUGACGGCCUUCGGGUUGUAAAGCUCUGUCUUCAGGGACGAUAAUGACGGUACCUGAGGAGGAAGCCACGGCUAACUACGUG
Molecule: ribosomal RNA, 464 nt
Filed under: uncultured bacterium
Lineage: Bacteria
Description: bacterial SSU rRNA
Rfam family: Bacterial small subunit ribosomal RNA
Source: RNAcentral